GCAACAAAUGUUGUGCUUCAUCAGAUGACGGGGGAUAUUUAAAGAGCUAUGCUUUGCGCAUGCGCACCGGCCUCCUGCGGGUCAUGGCUGAAGCUUUUUUAAGAGAAAGGUCACUCUUGUUUUGUGCCGGUGUCUUCUUGCUGUGCUGGUUUCUCAGGUUUGUGGUGAUCUGUGGUAUAUUGCUUGUUCAUGGGGGUGGUGGUGGGGUUUUCUGCAUGGGAUGCAUUUUGUUGAUUGCUUGUCAUUUUAUGAAUCUCUUGAAUUUGCUGGUCUCUGUCAUGCACGUUAAUAUCUGGUUCAUAAUUAUUAUUAUUUAGUAUGUUCUCGUAAAUUUGUGCUGCAUGACAUUUCUCUGCCAACAUUUCUGGUAUGCUAGGAUCGCUCUUAUUUUCACCACUUUCCACCUUCUGCUCAGUUUCUGCUGGUUGCGCCUCUCAGCUGUGGAGUCAGUGGCUUUUAUCUCCCCCUUAUGGUCUUUUUGUGCUGUUGCGUGCUGAAGCCAGUCGUGCUGCAGGGUUUGACUAGCUGUCAAACGCCUUUUCGGGUUGACCUCCAGCAAAGCCCUGACAAGAGCUUUAGCCCCUGGAAAACACAGACAUCAGCACUUAUCAUAUUUCUAGAUUACAGCAUCUAAAUGACAGAAUAUACGAAGGGUUAAACAGAAUAGUCCCAAACAGCCAAAAAUGAAAAUUCUCUCAUUUACUCCACCUUUGAAUAAAGCACACAAACUGUAAUGACUUUGUGCAAAUUGUAAUGGGGCUUUUUGAAAGAAAGUAUGUCAUACAAGUUUAAAAACAAUAUGGGAUUGAGUAAAUGAUGAUCGCCUUUAAUUGUUUUGAUUGAUCUAACACUUAAAUCACUUUAUUUGUACGGGGGUCAAAUGCUGGAGUUCAGUAUCUCACCCUCAGAUGCAUUAUCCCAGUAAGGGGACAGAAAGUGGACUUCUCCUUUCUGGAUGAGACGGAAUAGUUCCUCUUGAUUACGAUCUGGACUGCGGAAUGGAGGAAACCCACUCAGCAGGACAAACACAGGUUUUCAGGUUUGAUGUCUCGGUGUGCGAUGCUCUUGCUGUGGAUGUAUUCCAGAGCCUGACUGAUGUCUCUGAUCAUGCAUGCAGCACUUGGCUCAGUAAACCUGCCGUUCUGAGUGAUAGCAUCAAACAGGUCUCCACCGGUCACCAGCUCCAUCAGCAGGUAAACAUGGGUGUCCGUGUGAUGAGAACGAAACAGCUGGAUGAGCCGAGGAUGUUCCAGACUACGCAGCAGAGUGAUCUCAUUCUGAAUCAUGUGACCUCGUCCCUGCAGCUUUGCGUUGUCCACAAUCUUCAUAGCAAACGUUUCAGCCAGGCCUCUCACACGGCACUCCCUGACCACUGCAAAGUUCCCGUCUCCUACCACACGGCCCAUGUCAUAGCAGCGCUCAAUGUCCUCCAGCGACACUUCAGCCCCAUCAGCCAGUAUGUGACUCUGUAAGGACAUCUCGGCUCCGGCAUCAUCAUCAUGGAAACCACUAUCCGCCUUUGUGGCCUUGGGUCUCAGGAUACGCUCCCAUACUCUCAGCAGGUGUUCACAAUGGCUGGGGUUUUCUGGAUAUAACUCAUC
This is a long non-coding RNA of Cyprinus carpio (common carp), 1601 nucleotides long. RefSeq lists it as uncharacterized. The record is from RefSeq and is a predicted model, not a curated record. The transcript has 4 exons. Lineage: Eukaryota; Metazoa; Chordata; Actinopteri; Cypriniformes; Cyprinidae.